This 1393-nucleotide long non-coding RNA is filed under the name Monodelphis domestica (gray short-tailed opossum). Its description in RNAcentral is "lncRNA (ENSMODG00000041090.1)". Lineage: Eukaryota; Metazoa; Chordata; Mammalia; Didelphimorphia; Didelphidae. The record is from RNAcentral.
GCGGGCAGGGGAGCGGAGCCGGCCGCGCUGGCCCCCGCUCCCCGGAGAGAGGAGGAAGAGGAAGAAGAAGAGGCGGCGCGGAGACGCCAGCCCAGCCCGGCCCUAUGCCGCCGCCGCUUCCCUUCCUGGUUCUUCUCCGAUCCCUCCUCUUCAAAAAGUGGUGGCCCCUGCGCCUCAGCCUCGGCGGUGGCUGAUCUGGUCACAGACUCCAGGAGCAAGAGGCUCAACACGACCCGGACACUAAUCUACGGAGGAGGAAGUGACAGCAGCAGCGGAACCGGUCAUUCCGAGGGGUGGGGUCAAAGACAUGGCUCCGCCUCCGGGGGCGGGUCUGAGCCGGUGGGUGACGUGGUGGGUGGGGCUUAAUGCACGUGUUUUCUGUCAGUUCUACACGAGGAGCAAAGUUGACUUUCUGGCCCCUGAGGGGUUCUGACAGCACAGUCACUUAUGCUCUCUUCAGGUUGGCUUCACAGAAAGUCACUAACCCCAUCUUAGCCUAGGAUUGGCCCUAGAUACCUAGUGAUGGUGCAGGGAACCUCUGGCUUCAGGGAAAAAUUAGGAAACUGGCAAAGUUUGCCUCAAAAAAGUCAAUCAUUAACCAUUUAUUAAGAGCCUACUAUGUGCCAGGCAUUGUGACAAGUGGGCACUGUAAUUAGAAGCACUUUCCUUCUUUGUAGGAUUCUCCAUCUCACUUUAAGAACUUCCUAACCCCAUCCACCCUCCAAAAUUGUUCAGACUGCUUCUGACUGUCCAAGUUUCCUCCCCAGAUCUAGAGAGCAAACACUUCAUUCUCAGGUACUGUAUUAGACCUUUCCUUCCUCAGUAAAAUUUGUCUCCAGUCUUUGACAAAAGACAAUGGGUGAUCAUUAAUCAGACAAGCUAAUGUGUAUUUCUCUCUAAUAAGUGGUGCUAUGUUCCAGGUGAUAUGCUUAAGAUGUGAUGCUAAUCAUUGGAAUUUUAAACAUUUGGGAAUAUGGGGGAGAAAAUAUUUGGGUCAUGCAGUUAGGCCUUUAAAUUAGGUAUGCAAUCAUAUCUUGUUGAUUCCCCAGAUGUAUUAAAACUGAAUCUCUUUGGUACUACUUUUUCUGUCCAUGCAUGUGGUUCCACUUACUAUCCUACAAUAUUAUGUCCUCAGUUAUAGAUGUCUAUAGAGUUGGUCUUGUUGAUUGUAUAUAAAUGAAAAAAGCAUUGUAUUUGGAAUCAGGACAUGGAUUUCCCCAGGAUAAAUUGCUAUAUUACUCUGGGCCCCUUGGGCCUGGGGUUCCUCAUCUGUAAAACAAGGUGAUUAGAUUCUCUUUAAAGUUCAUUUCAAUUUUAAGUGCCAUGAUCUUUUUGACUAUCUACUUCAUAGUUUCUCUUGUGUACAAUAAAUGGUUUAUGAUUUGUUAAUUCA